This 312-nucleotide ribosomal RNA is filed under the name Tipuana tipu. RNAcentral's name for it is "eukaryotic LSU rRNA". The stretch from base 1 to 78 matches the Rfam family "5.8S ribosomal RNA", at positions 79 to 154 of the family's 154-position model. The record is from RNAcentral. Lineage: Eukaryota; Viridiplantae; Streptophyta; Magnoliopsida; Fabales; Fabaceae.
AUCCCGUGAACCAUCGAGUCUUUGAACGCAAGUUGCGCCCGAAGCCACCAGGCCAAGGGCACGCCUGCCUGGGUGUCACCAAUCGUUUCCCCAGCCCCGACGCCUUGCGGCACCGGGCGGGGUGGAUGAUGGCUUCCCGUGAGCGAGCGCCUCGCGGCUGGCUGAAAAUCGGGUUCGUGGUCGAGCGUAGCGCCAUGACAGACGGUGGUUGAGCGCGGUCUCGAGGCCAGUCAUGCGCGCCCCUCCACCGGUUACGGACUCCGUGACCCCGAGCGACACCGAUCGCCUUUGAUGCGACCUCAGGUCAGGCGG